RNAcentral lists this ribosomal RNA (464 nucleotides) under Vreelandella stevensii. RNAcentral describes it as "partial 16S ribosomal RNA". It matches the Rfam family "Bacterial small subunit ribosomal RNA", at positions 338 to 795 of the family's 1533-position model. The record is from RNAcentral. Lineage: Bacteria; Pseudomonadati; Pseudomonadota; Gammaproteobacteria; Oceanospirillales; Halomonadaceae.
CCUAGGGGGGCAGCAGUGGGGAAUAUUGGACAAUGGGCGAAAGCCUGAUCCAGCCAUGCCGCGUGUGUGAAGAAGGCCUUCGGGUUGUAAAGCACUUUCAGUGGGGAAGAAAGCCUUGGGGCUAAUACCCUCGAGGAAGGACAUCACCCACAGAAGAAGCACCGGCUAACUCCGUGCCAGCAGCCGCGGUAAUACGGAGGGUGCGAGCGUUAAUCGGAAUUACUGGGCGUAAAGCGCGCGUAGGCGGUCUGAUAAGCCGGUUGUGAAAGCCCCGGGCUCAACCUGGGAACGGCAUCCGGAACUGUCAGGCUAGAGUGCAGGAGAGGAAGGUAGAAUUCCCGGUGUAGCGGUGAAAUGCGUAGAGAUCGGGAGGAAUACCAGUGGCGAAGGCGGCCUUCUGGACUGACACUGACGCUGAGGUGCGAAAGCGUGGGUAGCAAACAGGAUUAGAUACCCCAGUAGUC